RNAcentral lists this ribosomal RNA (460 nucleotides) under uncultured bacterium. Its description in RNAcentral is "partial 16S ribosomal RNA". It matches the Rfam family "Bacterial small subunit ribosomal RNA", at positions 338 to 795 of the family's 1533-position model. The record is from RNAcentral.
CCUACGGGGUGCAGCAGUGAGGAAUAUUGGUCAAUGGACGAGAGUCUGAACCAGCCAAGUAGCGUGAAGGAUGACUGCCCUAUGGGUUGUAAACUUCUUUUAUAUGGGAAUAAAAUGUUCCACGUGUGGGAUUUUGUAUGUACCAUAUGAAUAAGGAUCGGCUAACUCCGUGCCAGCAGCCGCGGUAAUACGGAGGAUCCGAGCGUUAUCCGGAUUUAUUGGGUUUAAAGGGAGCGUAGGUGGAUUGUUAAGUCAGUUGUGAAAGUUUGCGGCUCAACCGUAAAAUUGCAGUUGAAACUGGCAGUCGUGAGUACAGUAGAGGUGGGCGGAAUUCGUGGUGUAGCGGUGAAAUGCUUAGAUAUCACGAAGAACUCCGAUUGCGAAGGCAGCUCACUGGACUGCAACUGACACUGAGGCUCGAAAGUGUGGGUAUCAAACAGGAUUAGAUACCCAAGUAGUC